CCUACGGGUGGCUGCAGUGGGGAAUAUUGGACAAUGGGCGAAAGCCUGAUCCAGCCAUGCCGCGUGUGUGAAGAAGGCCUUCGGGUUGUAAAGCACUUUUAGUGGGGAAGAAAGCCUUGGGGCUAAUACCCUCGAGGAAGGACAUCACCUACAGAAGAAGCACCGGCUAACUCCGUGCCAGCAGCCGCGGUAAUACGGAGGGUGCGAGCGUUAAUCGGAAUUACUGGGCGUAAAGCGCGCGUAGGCGGUCUGAUAAGCCGGUUGUGAAAGCCCCGGGCUCAACCUGGGAACGGCAUCCGGAACUGUCAGGCUAGAGUGCAGGAGAGGAAGGUAGAAUUCCCGGUGUAGCGGUGAAAUGCGUAGAGAUCGGGAGGAAUACCAGUGGCGAAGGCGGCCUUCUGGACUGACACUGACGCUGAGGUGCGAAAGCGUGGGUAGCAAACAGGAUUAGAUACCCCGGUAGUC
Molecule: ribosomal RNA, 465 nt
Filed under: Vreelandella stevensii
Lineage: Bacteria; Pseudomonadati; Pseudomonadota; Gammaproteobacteria; Oceanospirillales; Halomonadaceae
Description: partial 16S ribosomal RNA
Rfam family: Bacterial small subunit ribosomal RNA
Source: RNAcentral